AUGCGUGCAGGCAUAGAGGAGGUCUUUCCGUUGGCAGUGCACAGGCACUGCAGGUGGCACAUUAUAAAGAAGGCCGACGAGACGCUAGGACCGUUCUUUGCAGACCGUCCAGAGUUGCACAAGGCAUUCGAGUUGUGCAUGGACCAUAGCUUGACGGUGGAGGAGUUUUAAAGGAGCUGGAUGGCCAUGAUUGAAACAUAUCAAGUCCAAGACAACGAGACUCUUGCUAGCCUGUGGGAGAAGCGAAUGUACUAGGUGCCGGCCUACUUCAUGCAGUGCUUCUUCCCAUUUCUGCAUACUACGCAGCGCAGCGAGGGGUUUAAUGCUGUUUUGAAGCGGUACGUGAGCCCUGGCAACUCAUUGCUACAGUUUGCCAAGCAAUACACAACUUUGCAACAAAAAAUACUGGGAUCUGAGCUACAGCAAGAAGCGAACACCGCGCUAAAGCAGCCAAAUUGCUAA
This 462-nucleotide ribosomal RNA is filed under the name Triticum aestivum (bread wheat). RNAcentral describes it as "partial small subunit ribosomal RNA". Lineage: Eukaryota; Viridiplantae; Streptophyta; Magnoliopsida; Poales; Poaceae. The record is from RNAcentral.